This 253-nucleotide ribosomal RNA is filed under the name uncultured bacterium. RNAcentral's name for it is "partial 16S ribosomal RNA". It matches the Rfam family "Bacterial small subunit ribosomal RNA", at positions 524 to 776 of the family's 1533-position model. The record is from RNAcentral.
UACGGAGGAUCCAAGCGUUAUCCGGAAUCAUUGGGUUUAAAGGGUGCGUAGGUGGGCAGGUAAGUCAGUGGUGAAAUCUCCGAGCUUAACUCGGAAACUGCCAUUGAUACUAUCUGUCUUGAAUUAUCUGGAGGUGAGCGGAAUAUGUCAUGUAGCGGUGAAAUGCUUAGAUAUGACAUAGAACACCAAUUGCGAAGGCAGCUCACUACGGAUAUAUUGACACUGAGGCACGAAAGCGUGGGGAUCAAACAGG